GGCAGCACGAUGUAGCAAUACAUUGGUGGCGACCGGCGCACGGGUGAGUAACGCGUAUGCAACCUACCUAUCAGAGGGGAAUAACCCGGCGAAAGUCGGACUAAUACCGCAUAAAACAGGGGUUCCACAUGGAAAUAUUUGUUAAAGAAUUAUCGCUGAUAGAUGGGCAUGCGUUCCAUUAGAUAGUUGGUGAGGUAACGGCUCACCAAGUCCACGAUGGAUAGGGGUUCUGAGAGGAAGGUCCCCCACACUGGUACUGAGACACGGACCAGACUCCUACGGGAGGCAGCAGUGAGGAAUAUUGGUCAAUGGGCGAGAGCCUGAACCAGCCAAGUCGCGUGAAGGAUGAAGGAUCUAUGGUUUGCAAACUUCUUUUAUAUGGGAAUAAAGUGAGGAACGUGUUCCUUUUUGUAUGUACCAUAUGAAUAAGCAUCGGCUAACUCCGUGCCAGCAGCCGCGGUAAUACGGAGGAUGCGAGCGUUAUCCGGAUUUAUUGGGUUUAAAGGGUGCGUAGGUGGUUAAUUAAGUCAGCGGUGAAAGUUUGUGGCUCAACCAUAAAAUUGCCGUUGAAACUGGUUGACUUGAGUAUAUUUGAGGUAGGCGGAAUGCGUGGUGUAGCGGUGAAAUGCAUAGAUAUCACGCAGAACUCCGAUUGCGAAGGCAGCUUACUAAACUAUAACUGACACUGAAGCACGAAAGCGUGGGGAUCAAAC
This 713-nucleotide ribosomal RNA is filed under the name uncultured Bacteroidales bacterium. RNAcentral describes it as "bacterial SSU rRNA". It matches the Rfam family "Bacterial small subunit ribosomal RNA", at positions 66 to 773 of the family's 1533-position model. Lineage: Bacteria; Pseudomonadati; Bacteroidota; Bacteroidia; Bacteroidales. The record is from RNAcentral.